RNAcentral lists this ribosomal RNA (177 nucleotides) under Salmonella enterica. RNAcentral's name for it is "partial 23S ribosomal RNA". It matches the Rfam family "Bacterial large subunit ribosomal RNA", at positions 1 to 169 of the family's 2925-position model. Lineage: Bacteria; Pseudomonadati; Pseudomonadota; Gammaproteobacteria; Enterobacterales; Enterobacteriaceae. The record is from RNAcentral.
GGGUUGUGAGGUUAAGCGACUAAGCGUACACGGUGGAUGCCCUGGCAGUCAGAGGCGAUGAAGGACGUGCUAAUCUGCGAUAAGCGCCGGUAAGGUGAUAUGAACCGUUAUAACCGGCGAUUUCCGAAUGGGGAAACCCAGUGUGACUCGUCACACUAUCAUUAACUGAAUCCAUAG